UUGCGUUACCAUCACGCAGACGAGCUCAGGAGGGAAAGGCUGUUCGGCGUUGAGCCACUGGUCAAGCUUAGUCUGUCUCCAACAAUUUUAUCACAGAGUCGAAACAUGGCGGAGCCGAAGACCAAAUACGAUCGACAGCUCAGGAUCUGGGGAGAACAAGGACAGGCAGCGCUGGAAAAUGCCAGCAUCUGCUUAUUAAAUUGUGGUCCUACUGGAUCUGAAACACUAAAAAAUCUCGUCCUUGGUGGAAUUGGAAGUAUUACUGUUAUCGAUGGCUCUAAAGUUGAAGCAAGCGAUCUCGGGAACAACUUUAUGGUGGAUGAAUCGAGCAUUGGGCAAUCAAAAGCAAAAUGUGUAUGUGCCUUUUUGCAGGAGCUGAAUGAUUCUGUCAAGGCCAAAUUCGUAGAGGAGUCCCCAGAGGCAUUAAUUGAGACGAACCCAUCCUUUUUUUCUCAGUUUACUUUGGUGGUUGCAACUCAGCUGGUGGAAACUUCAAUGCUGAAAUUGGAUAGGAUCUGUAGGCAGGCAAAUGUUAUGUUGAUAUUUGCACGCUCAUAUGGCCUAACUGGGCUUGUUCGGAUUAGUUUGAAGGAACACAAUGUUAUCGAGUCAAAGCCUGAUCAUUUUCUGGAUGAUCUCCGACUGAACCAUCCCUGGCCUGAGUUGAAGAGUUUUGCCGAAACCAUUGACUUAAACGUGACAGAUCCUGUGGUCCAUAAGCAUAUACCAUAUGUUGUCAUUCUUGUUAAGAUGGCAGAUGAGUGGGCCUCUAAACAUGGUGGUUGCCUUCCGACAACUAGGGAAGAAAAAAAGGAGUUCAAGGAUCUUUUGAAAGCCAGGAUGAUUGCUUUAGAUGAAGAUAAUUACAAAGAAGCUAUUGAGGCCGCAUUCAAAGUGUCCACUCCUCGAGGAUUCGGUUCAAAUCUCCGCCAAAUAAUAGAUGAUAGUGCUGCUGAAGUUGAUUCCACUUCAUCAGAUUUUUGGGUGAUGGUGGCAGCUUUAAAGGAAUUCAUUGCAAAUGAAGGUGAUGGGGAGGCACCUCUUGAGGGAUCAAUACCAGAUAUGACAUCUUUAACAGAAUAUUAUGUAAAUUUGCAAAAGAUCUACCAGGCUAAAGCCGAGGCAGACUUUCAUGCUAUUGAGCAACACGUGAGGAAUAUUUUAAAGAGAAUCAGGAGGGAUACAGAUGCCAUUUCAAAGACAAUCAUAAAAAGCUUCUGUAAAAAUGCAAGAAAGCUCACAGUAUGUAGAUACCGCCUAGUUGAGACCGAGUUUAAUUCACCUAUUCUACCAGAGUUACAAAAGUAUUUGACAGAUGAAGAUUACAGCAUAGCUGUUGGGUUGUACAUUCUGCUUCGUGCUGCUGACCGGUUUGCAACCAAUUACAACAGGUUUCCUGGAAUGUUUGACGGAGAAAUCGAUGAGGACAUAUCUCGGUUGAAGACUAUUGCUGUUGGCAUACUAAGUGACUUGGGUUGCAAUGGAUCAACAUUGACAGAGGACCUAAUCAAUGAGAUGUGCCGAUUUGGUGCUGCAGAGCUUCAUGCAGUCGCUGCCUUCAUAGGGGGAAUUGCAUCACAGGAGGCUAUUAAGCUCAUUACAAAGCAAUUCGUGCCAAUGUCCGGGACUUUCAUCUUUAAUGGAAUUGAUCACAAGUCUCAAUUGCUGUUCUUGUAGUUGUUUAUGAGAUCGGAAUAAUUGCCUCAAAAGUAACUGGUACGUCCUGAUCUCUCUGGAAGAAGUUUCUGGUUCUCUUUAUGAAUUCUUCCCAGGGCUUAUUAUUAUUUAAGUACUGGAUUUCCUCACUUUUAUGAUAUAUUGUGGUCACCCUUUCUCUGGUAAAUA
This is an RNA transcript of Telopea speciosissima, 1845 nucleotides long. It is a transcript of the gene named NEDD8-activating enzyme E1 regulatory subunit AXR1-like, with no coding region annotated. The record is from RefSeq and is a predicted model, not a curated record. Lineage: Eukaryota; Viridiplantae; Streptophyta; Magnoliopsida; Proteales; Proteaceae. The transcript has 15 exons.